This 243-nucleotide ribosomal RNA is filed under the name uncultured bacterium. RNAcentral's name for it is "partial 16S ribosomal RNA". It matches the Rfam family "Bacterial small subunit ribosomal RNA", at positions 1257 to 1500 of the family's 1533-position model. The record is from RNAcentral.
GCGAGGUGGAGCAAAACUUCAAAAAUGGUCUCAGUUCGGACUGUAGGCUGCAACUCGCCUACACGAAGUUGGAAUUGCUAGUAAUCGUGGAUCAGCAUGCCACGGUGAAUACGUUCCCGGGUCUUGUACACACCGCCCGUCACACCAUGGGAGCUGGUAACACCCGAAGUCAGUAGUCUAACCGCAAGGAGGACGCUGCCGAAGGUGGGAUUAGCGACUGGGGUGAAGUCGUAACAAGGUACC